CAGUCGCCGCGGUAAUACCAGCACCUCGAGUGGUCAGGAGGUUUAUUGGGCCUAAAGCAUCCGUAGCCGGUUGCAUAAGUUUUCGGUUAAAUCUAUGCGCUUAACGUAUAGGCCGCCGAAAAUACUGUGCAGCUAGGGAGUGGGAGAGGUACACGGUACUCGAUAGGAAGGGGUAAAAUCCUUUGAUCUAUUGAUGACCACCUGUGGCGAAGGCGGUGUACCAGAACACGUUCGACGGUGAGGGAUGAAAGCUGGGGGAGCAAACCGGAUUAGAUACCCCAGUAGUCCCUGUCUCUUAUAA
Molecule: ribosomal RNA, 301 nt
Filed under: uncultured bacterium
Lineage: Bacteria
Description: partial 16S ribosomal RNA
Rfam family: Archaeal small subunit ribosomal RNA
Source: RNAcentral